UCACUUCUUCGUCAAUUUCUCAUACGAGGCGCAAAGUUUAAAAGAAUUUCGUUUCGUCCGAGUGCAGGUAUGAAUUGAACAAAUUUUGACCCGAGGCGCGUUCAUUGUUUUUUUAUCACAACUAACUGACGCAACCAAACAACCCACCUAUGAGGAAGACGAAUGAUGAGAAAAUGACAAGGACGGCCGCGUUUUUUCUGCGGUAAAACCAAUUUCGCUUGGUUGAUUGAUUGAGCGUAUUCAGCGAUGCGGGAGAAAUAGGAUAAUUCACAGACAUCUCUACUUAACGCAAAAAACCGUCCUUCGACCUGGUUGAAAUAUUAUACUCGAAAAAGGCCAAAUAUGAUUCGGCAAACUUUGUUUCAAAAUGCUUCGUAAGCAUGCUUGGUAAGGAGUUUUCUGCAUUCAAACUUGGCAGCUGCCAAGAUCGUGGUGUCGGUGCAUCUCGCUAUAAAAAGCACCGAUCUGGCGUCAGCCUGAGUAAAGUUGAGCGUCUACCUCUGCUGGUCGCUGUGAGUCAACUUGUUCGUACACUACAGCCACUGAAAAUUAUGCCAGCAAACCUGGCAUAAUCCUCCCGAUCCGCCACGUCCAAAGCCAGACCCACAAUGGGAUCCGCCACAACCAGAUCUCAACCGAAUUUUCGCAAAAAACCAUCGAAAACAAAGCAAUUCAAGUGUAAGAACAAGGGAACACAUUUGCGUCAGGGAUAGCUAGCCAUGAGUUGCCAUUUAGCUGAAGGCCAAGUUAAUGGACAUCGACUCCAGCAUAGUUUCCCUGAUAAAUGGAGAGAGGGCAGUAAUUUUGUGAUUCCAGUUAACAGACUCAUAUGCAUAACAGCAAAAAAAGGCUUAUAAUAAAUUACUACACGAAGUACGCAGACGCAACUUAGUCGCCACGCAAUAAGAUUGCUUUCAUCGCGUCUCGCUAUAAAAAGCAGUGAUCUGGCGUCAGCUUGAGUUAAGUUGAGCGUCUCUUUCUGCUGGUCGCUGUGAGUCAACUUGUUCGUACGCUACAGUCACUGAAAAUUAUGCCACCAAAACCAGAUCCAACCACUCCAGAUCCGUCAUAUCCAAGGCCGAAACCAAAGCCGAACAAGGGCUGAAAUCGACUCUGUUAAGGAUUGGAAAAGGUUGGCGCGAAUGAUCAGUGAUUUAAAAGAUGCCAAAGACCAAGUUUUAGAAGGAGGAGUAAUGAAGCCCUUUUGCACAAGGACUGAUGCAGUUUCUCGUGUUCAAUUACUUGCAGUUGUCACUAUUUGUUCGCGUUGCGAAGCCUAAAACAAAAUUAUUCACUAGCAUGACGAAAGCAAUAGUAGUCGAGCUUGAGUUUGCAGAUGAUAUGAUUAUGGUUUUCACAAAGGUUAUCAUCAUAGCUCGUUUAGCUUGAAAUCGAUUCUAUUUGGGUUAGUUCUUGGUUAGGAUUCUCACUUCCAAGAGAUUUCACAAUCGAGUAUUUCUCAACCUUAGACACUUUUGGAACGUAUGAUUUCUGACGCUGUUUAUUUGAACUACGUUCGAUGACAAAGCAUUCCAGCAUUUCAGUCAUCAUUCCGCUCGCGGAGAGGAGAAAGCAGAAGAACUGAUGUAAAAGUUCUGACAGAUAUAGGGUCAAUAAACU
Non-coding RNA from Pocillopora verrucosa, 1620 nucleotides. NCBI's taxonomy places the organism in Eukaryota, Metazoa, Cnidaria, Anthozoa, Scleractinia, Pocilloporidae. The record is from RefSeq and is a predicted model, not a curated record.